Panicum virgatum (switchgrass) is the source of this 1433-nucleotide long non-coding RNA. RefSeq lists it as uncharacterized. NCBI's taxonomy places the organism in Eukaryota, Viridiplantae, Streptophyta, Magnoliopsida, Poales, Poaceae. The transcript is spliced from 2 exons. The record is from RefSeq and is a predicted model, not a curated record.
AUUUUGAGCAUUUAUUUAAUUUCUAACCAACGUGUUAUAAAUAAUUGCCAUGAGAAUUAGUUUAAAUUUAAGUUUAUUUUGCUUUUGCCCAACGGUGAUGCAAAAUUAAGUUUUCCGCUGCGUUCAUUACGCUAAGUUUAUUUUGUUUCUGCCCAAUGGUGAUGCAAAAUAUUAUUCAUGAGUUAAAUAAGUGUUUAAUUUGUUUCUGCCCAACGGUGGUGCAAUUAAUUUGUUUAUGUUUUAAUCUAGCCAAUGCUGAUUAAUUCAUUUAUUUAUGUUGUCAUUACUGAUUAAAUUCUUGUUUACUUGUUCAUACUCAGAUCCCACUCCUGCCAACAUCAUAGCUUAUGUCAAUGGUGUGGAGAAGCUGUCUGGCGAUAACUUCGCCAAAUGGAGUCGUGAGAUCCAUCUCAUUCUGGUGAUGAUGGAUAAGGACCACUCCAUGAGAGACCCAGCUCCAGUAGCACCAGUUGCACAAGGGACUGAUGAUACAUCCCUUGCUGAGCGUACUACUGCUUAUGAGAAGGACAAAGAGCGUUGGGAGCACUCCGACAGAGUGGCGCUCAUGGUUAUGGACUUGACCAUCAGCCCCACAAUCAGGGGAGCACUUGAGAAGGAGCCUAAGAAUGCUAAGAGCUUCAUGACGAGCAUUGAGCAGUACUGUAAGGGCUCUGCAAAGGCCGCCUCUAGUACUCUCUUGUCUCAGCUCAUGGGGGCCAGGUACAAUGGGCAAGGCAAUGUCAGAGAACACAUUAUGGGGAUGGUCAACAUGAGGGAUAAGCUUAAGGACCUCGAUUGCCCCUUAAUGAUGCUACAUUGCUUCACCAUGAUAUGAUCUCACUCCCACCAGCCUUUGAGACCUUCAAGGUAAACUACAAUAGUAGUGAUUAGAAGUGGGACAUAACCACUCUCGUGGCUAAGUGUGCCCAAGAGGAAGAAAGGCUUCGCACUCAGAACCCUGAUUUUGUUAACCACAUUAGACAAGGUGGUCGCAGAAACAACAACAACAACAGCAGGUUCUCUCGCUCCAAGAAAGAUAAGAAGGGUAAGAAACCCUAUGAUGGUCCUAAGCAGGAUGGCUCCUCCUCCUGUAAGACAUUCAAGUGCUACCACCGUGGCAAAGAAGGCCACAUCACUAAGGACUGUGAGGAGUUUAAGAAGUGGUGCGUUAAGAAAGGGAUUGUCUGGCAUGCGGACUAUAAGAAGGGGGACCCGAAGUCUCAGGGUCGCUAAUGGAGUUGAAGCAGAAGUGGAGGCCAUUGGGACUCUUCAGUUAGAGCUUCACGGCGACUUCACACUUCGUCUAUUAGAUGUGGAGGCCAUUGGGACUCUUCUGUUUCUAAGUUAGAUCGUGAUGGAUUUUCGUGCAUGUUUGGGAACAAUAGAUGUGUAAUAAGAUGUGAUGGUGACUUAAUUUGUUAUGCGCCUUUGCA